GACGAACGCUGGCGGCGUGCUUAACACAUGCAAGUCGAACGGAAAGGCCCUGCUUUUGUGGGGUGCUCGAGUGGCGAAAGGGUGAGUAACACGUGAGUAACCUGCCCUUGACUUUGGGAUAACUUCAGGAAACUGGGGCUAAUACCGGAUAGGAGCUCCUGCUGCAUGUUGGGGGUUGGAAGGUUUCGGCGGUUGGGGAUGGACUCGCGGCUUAUCAGCUUGUUGGUGGGGUAGUGGCUUACCAAGGCUUUGACGGGUAGCCGGCCUGAGAGGGUGACCGGCCACAUUGGGACUGAGAUACGGCCCAGACUCCUACGGGAGGCAGCAGUGGGGAAUAUUGCACAAUGGGCGGAAGCCUGAUGCAGCAACGCCGCGUGAGGGAUGACGGCCUUCGGGUUGUAAACCGCUUUCGCCUGUGACGAAGCGUGAGUGACGGUAAUGGGUAAAGAAGCACCGGCUAACUACGUG
Molecule: ribosomal RNA, 468 nt
Filed under: uncultured bacterium
Lineage: Bacteria
Description: partial 16S ribosomal RNA
Rfam family: Bacterial small subunit ribosomal RNA
Source: RNAcentral